Molecule: small nucleolar RNA, 366 nt
Filed under: Tetrapisispora phaffii CBS 4417
Lineage: Eukaryota; Fungi; Ascomycota; Saccharomycetes; Saccharomycetales; Saccharomycetaceae
Description: Fungal small nucleolar RNA U3
Rfam family: Fungal small nucleolar RNA U3
About the family: Small nucleolar RNAs (snoRNAs) are involved in the processing and modification of rRNA in the nucleolus. There are two main classes of snoRNAs: the box C/D class, and the box H/ACA class. U3 snoRNA is a member of the box C/D class.
Source: Rfam by way of RNAcentral
UAACACAUUCUACAGUAGGAUCAUUUCUAUAGGAAUCGUCACUCUUUGACUCUUCAAAAGAGCCACUGAAUCCAACUUGGUUGAUGAGCCGUAGAACCGUUAUGCCCUAGAGUGAGGAACAAUCAUUUUUUAUUAUUAGCUUGGUCCGCAAUCCUUAGCGGUUCGGCCAUCUAAAAUAAAUUUUCCAGAUUGGAUAGGUUUACUUAUCUUAUUUUGGGAGAUUUUGGUUAUUUGCCAUUUAUUAUAAUUUCAUUUGGUUACAUUUGAAGUUUACUUUGGCGCGAUGAUCUUGACCCUGUCAAUGUAUUUCUUUUUUGGAAAGGAUUGAUAUUUAAAGGGUGGGCGUGACUGGCAGUCUGACUAAGU